This 191-nucleotide small nuclear RNA is filed under the name Maylandia zebra (zebra mbuna). Its description in RNAcentral is "U2 spliceosomal RNA (ENSMZEG00005028196.1)". It matches the Rfam family "U2 spliceosomal RNA". From Rfam's summary of the family: U2 is a small nuclear RNA (snRNA) component of the spliceosome (involved in pre-mRNA splicing). Complementary binding between U2 snRNA (in an area lying towards the 5' end but 3' to hairpin I) and the branchpoint sequence (BPS) of the intron results the bulging out of an unpaired adenosine, on the BPS, which initiates a nucleophilic attack at the intronic 5' splice site, thus starting the first of two transesterification reactions that mediate splicing. The record is from Rfam by way of RNAcentral. Lineage: Eukaryota; Metazoa; Chordata; Actinopteri; Cichliformes; Cichlidae.
AUCUUUUCUUGGCUUUUUAGCUAAAAAAAAAAAAAAAAAUCUGUUUCUUAUCAGUUUAAUAUCUGAUACGUCCCUACCCGGGGACCAUAUAUAAAUUGAUUUUUGGAGCAGGGAGAUGGAAUAGGGGCUGCUCCGUCCACUCCACGCAUCGACCUGGUAUUUGCAGUAUUUCUAGGAACGGUGCACCCCUG